Molecule: long non-coding RNA, 444 nt
Organism: Argentina anserina (silverweed cinquefoil)
Lineage: Eukaryota; Viridiplantae; Streptophyta; Magnoliopsida; Rosales; Rosaceae
Exons: 3
Source: RefSeq, a predicted model, not a curated record
UCAUGACCAUCUCUUCAUUCUCUUCCAAACCAUGCCUCUCAAUCCUCCAUUCAUCCUUGAUUUUGGUGAGAUCAAAAUAGAGGCAGUGAGAUGUCUUCAAUGAUUUUCCGGCAACUCGGGCGAGCUUCUUUGGUCACUCUCUGCAUCGAUUUGGACCUCCGACGAGCUUCUCAGUCCAAGCUAGUCCUCCCAAACUCAUGUGUUGAUCUUGGACGAGAAUGUAGAAUUUCUGGGCAGUAGCAUGCUUCCGAGAAGCCUUUGAAGGAGGUGUAGCUCUGCCGACUUCAUUGAUUUCAGUUCGUUGAGGUAGCAAGCGAACCUUUCAAUUUCUUGUUCGCGUUUUGGUGUUUGUGUUGUUGAUGAAGCUAAGUUUGUAAUGCUUGUCGAGUUAGAAGAGAUCGGAGGUGAUUUUGUGGUCGGAUUUAUGAUCGGAGAGAUAAGGAU